RNAcentral lists this ribosomal RNA (246 nucleotides) under uncultured bacterium. RNAcentral describes it as "partial 16S ribosomal RNA". It matches the Rfam family "Bacterial small subunit ribosomal RNA", at positions 86 to 334 of the family's 1533-position model. The record is from RNAcentral.
AAUGACGGAGCGGCGAACGGGUGAGUAACACGUGGGCAACCUGCCCCUAGCUCUGGGACAACUCCUCGAAAGAGGGGCUAAUACCGGAUACGACCUCGGACGACAUCUUCUGAGGUGGAAAGUUUUUCGGCUAGGGAUGGGCCCGCGGCCUAUCAGCUUGUUGGUGGGGUAACGGCCCACCAAGGCGACGACGGGUAGCCGGCCUGAGAGGGCGACCGGCCACACUGGGACUGAGACACGGCCCAG